GCCAAGUUACAUAUAUAACUUGUCGCAAUCCGACACACGGAUUAAAAGUUACAAACGUUUUAAAAUAUACAUCUUUUUGAAAUCCCUAGUAGUAGAUAAAAUCGCCGAACUCGAAAAAAACUAAUAUUGGCUGAAACUAGUGGCGCAAUAUAGUUCUUCUGUGCCUCGGGCGCAAUAAAACAGAGGUGGGGCUGGAGCUCACCCAAGUGGCCAUGGGCCGGCUCGAUGGGGCUUGCGAGGCCUCCGCUGGCUGGAGCUGGGCCGACUUCGGCUAGGGCGCUGCUGGUCCGGGAUGCCAAGCUGGCCCAGGAGCAGGGCAAGCCCCACGCAAUAGAGGUCUGGAGAGAUGCUCGUUGACAGAGCGGUUCCUGCUCGUUGCAGAGGAAACAUGCGCAGUCAACGGCGACUCCAUGCGAGGGAGGUCCGACAGGGCACGACCAGCGAAUAUGGCGGGGAUGGGUCGGGGGCGUACAAAGCCGGUCGGGGGCGAGGUGAGGCGGAGCUUUCGGCAAGGACGACGGCUGCUCGAGUCCAUUUGGGCAGACAUGGAGUUCAUGGAUGCCAUGGUUGUUCCUGAACAACAGAGAAGAAAGGGAGAGCAGGGAGGUUAGAAAGACAGGAAUGAUGGAAAGCAAGGAGAGGGGCAGAUGCUCAAGGCUGUUGUGACCUGGUGGUGGCGCUCGCCGAUGCUACUCCGAUCCAACCUGGAUCGAGGCUAGAGAAGAGGGGAACGAGGCGCUCGGCCUUACGGGGAUGUUGGUCGCUGCAUCGAGGAGGCCUCCCAUUCGCCCGAUCUAACCACACACGGCCAGGAUUGCUGGAUCUAACUAACCCGCGUUGGCUGGUUGAAUGAAGUUGUGGCG
Molecule: long non-coding RNA, 863 nt
Filed under: Hordeum vulgare
Lineage: Eukaryota; Viridiplantae; Streptophyta; Magnoliopsida; Poales; Poaceae
Description: long non-coding RNA (HVUL_LNC006939)
Source: RNAcentral